ACACAGCGCUCUGGAGAGGGCCGGCCAUCCGCAUCGCGGUGCGCCCGGACGCCGAAGGUGCAAACCCGCGCAGCGGGGCAACUCUCAGGCAAAAGGACAGAGGGGCGGAA
Molecule: non-coding RNA, 110 nt
Filed under: Bordetella genomosp. 1
Lineage: Bacteria; Pseudomonadati; Pseudomonadota; Betaproteobacteria; Burkholderiales; Alcaligenaceae
Also listed under: 1 other name
Description: Bordetella genomosp. Glycine sequence
Rfam family: Glycine riboswitch aptamer
About the family: This family represents the bacterial glycine riboswitch. Glycine riboswitches usually consist of two metabolite-binding aptamers domains with similar structures in tandem.
Source: RNAcentral